This 250-nucleotide ribosomal RNA is filed under the name Hygrophoraceae sp. Its description in RNAcentral is "partial 28S ribosomal RNA". It matches the Rfam family "Eukaryotic large subunit ribosomal RNA", at positions 104 to 344 of the family's 3401-position model. Lineage: Eukaryota; Fungi; Basidiomycota; Agaricomycetes; Agaricales; Hygrophoraceae. The record is from RNAcentral.
AAAGCUCAAAUUUAAAAUCUGGCGGUCCUUGUGGUCGUCCGAGUUGUAAUCUAGAGAAGUGUUAUCCGCGCUGGACCGUGUACAAGUCUCCUGGAAUGGAGCGUCAUAGAGGGUGAGAAUCCCGUCUUUGACACGGACUACCAGGGCUUAUGUGAUAUGCUCUCGAAGAGUCGAGUUGUUUGGGAAUGCAGCUCAAAAUGGGUGGUAAAUUCCAUCUAAAGCUAAAUAUUGGGGAGAGACCGAUAGCGAA